Phascolarctos cinereus (koala) is the source of this 106-nucleotide small nuclear RNA. The record is from Ensembl. Lineage: Eukaryota; Metazoa; Chordata; Mammalia; Diprotodontia; Phascolarctidae.
CUGGCUGUUUGGCUGCACAUAUACUAAAAUUGGAACAAUAAAUAGAAGAUGAGUGUGGCCCUUGCUCAAUGAUGACAUGCAGAUUUGUGAAGAGUUCCUUAUUUAA